Long non-coding RNA from Numida meleagris (helmeted guineafowl), 2777 nucleotides. RefSeq lists it as uncharacterized. The transcript is spliced from 3 exons. NCBI's taxonomy places the organism in Eukaryota, Metazoa, Chordata, Aves, Galliformes, Numididae. The record is from RefSeq and is a predicted model, not a curated record.
UCCUCUAAAUAACACAGUCAUUAUAUAUUUUUUUAAAAAAAUCAAUCAACUCCUCUUUGAGAUAACAAAGAGUUUGCUUCUAUUAUAUCUGCCCUAGUGGAUUAAAAUCAGUCUUUUCUAUACAGUAGUAAACAAUUCUUUAUUUCCAGCAAAUAACAAUACAUCAGCAUCACAGUUUUUCCCCCUUCUACAAGUAACAACUUUCCCUUUGUACUUUUGUUCAGUAAUGUUUUUCUGUGAGCCACUUUAUUUUGCUGACAAGUAUGUCCCCUCCCCUAAUGAAGAGAUGUGCAAUCUAUUGUUCAUCCGACCCAUUCUGUUGCUAACAAUGACACAGUACCUACUUUAUGUCACGUUCUACUGCGUGACUAAUGAGAACAUAACAUUUGAGCUGUACAUUUGUAUUCUUAGAAGCCUCAAAUUAGCACAAUUUUUAAUAUAACAAUAAUCCUAUUAGCAUAAUUUCCCUGCUUUUGAAUGAUAACAUGCUCAAGUAAAUUUAAAUGGUUUAAAUUAUAGACUAUGUAGACCAUUAAAACUAUUAAAGAGAUCACACUAGCCGAUUCUUGAUCCAAAAUUACAGCAUGCUAGAGUCACCCUUGCUACGGUUUGAAUGCAGUCCUAAAUAAUCUGAUGUAAUUGUUUCCAAUUUGCUCUCUUCCACUACUUUGCAGUUUUGUAAUCUUCAUAUCAUUGUCACAGUAAUUAAUCUUAUGCACAUGGCAACCGAAAUUAAAGAACCACAGAGACAUCUUUGAUUUAGUACGAUCUGUUCUAGCCACUCUUAAUCAGGUUCGGCAAUUACAGCCUGGUAACACAAUCUGAAGGAACAAUAAUUGAUCUUGAGAAAAGUUAGACCAAUGAGAACUACCAAAAUUGAUAUUUAACUUCAGUAAAUGAAACACUCUUUUAGUUGGGUGCUUAUAUCCUUUAAAUUAAACAUCUUAGGUUCUCACCUGUAAGCUACUGAUCAGCAAACACAAACUCUUUUUUUUGUGGAAACUCUCAGAGCACGCUCACUAUUGGCAUUCCCACAUUUUCUUCUUUUAGUCUACUUUUUUAUUUUCCUCUAGGCAUAAGCCAUACACGUCCAUUUUCUUUUAAAGUUCCUACUUUCUUUACUGCAUGUAGGUGUACCUCAGGUCUCACACCCUACAGAGCUCAGGGCCGGUCCCAGGGCCUCACGGGCAGCUCCUCGCCCGCAGCCCCGCCCUGCCUCCAGCUGUCCCUCAUCACCGGGCCAGCCCCUACCUCACCUUCCCCGUGCUCCGAGCGCCUCAGCCGAAUGGUGGGACACGUUCUCCUUAGGAAACCUCCUGUGAUUCCUCUUUCUCUUCUAGACCAGGAGCUCCUGAAAAAGGAGACUGAAGCAAGGCUGCUUCAAGCUGCUGAGUUGUUCCUACACCCGCACUCAGUGGUUACUGAGCUAAAGCACUUUCUCCUCUGAUACUUUUCUCAAGGCAAUCCCUAAGAAGGCACCGCUGCUCCCAAAAGGGGACCAAAAAACACGUAAGGAGCUAGCACAAAAGGCCAAAGAAAGCGGAAUCCUUCCGUACUUUAGGACACCCACAGCGCCGCGUUACCCCGCGCGGCAGCUCGGCUCUCUACUGCCCGCAGGGGGCGCUCGGAAUGGCGGCGCCUCCUUCUGGCGGGAACGGGCAUGCAGGCGGCUCCCCACUUCGGGCAGGGGUGGUGGCUGCGCCGCGACCCGCGAAGGACCCUCCCGCAGAAGAGGGGUAUUAUAUCAGCUCAGCGUGACCAAAGGAACGUCAUCCUCCCAGGUUCUGCAAGAUGGCUGAAAUUUAACUAAAGAAUAUUGUGACAAACAGUCAUGAGGUGGAAAGGAACUCAAGUCAUGGAAAGAUCAAUGGUAGCUGCUUUUAAAUGAGCAGGGCAUGCUGGAACAGAAUUCAUCCUGAAAAUAACACCAAAAGUAUAAUAGUGUUACACUCAUUAGAAGAGCUGUAAAAGAGUGUUUCAACUCUGUGAAGAAUAUGUGCAGUGGAGGCUGAAGACUUAUGUCAAAGUGAGUAAAAUCACAUAAAAGACAAUAUUCCUGUUUCUGCAUUUGGUAACUGCUAAUCUUUGUCUUGCAUUAGUGUUUGGAGGCCAGAGUAUCAUAAAUACCAUUAAAAAUGCUUUUGAGAAAAUAUGUGGAAAAUGACUGUAAUUAUCCACAUUCUCUUGGGAUCUCUCAGAAAGGAUGCCAGAAAGAAGGGACUUGUGUAAAAUAUUCUAGGAAGAAGCACGCUUGCUACCUCUGUAAUCACUGAUCCAUGGCCAGCUGCAGCUUUACAAGUAAUAUUAAAAACCACAAAAAAACACCCAAACUUAGCAGGUAGAAGUUGUACCCAAUUAACUCCUAAAACAGUACUGAUCUUAAAAUAAAUAAAUUAAAAUUUGAGGAUAUGUUAAAUUGCUGUUUAAGCCCCUUACACGAUAUUAAAUGUAUUAACACACAGCACUCUACAUCCAGCAAUCACUAACGAGUGCUUCUGCUGCCUUCUCCUUUACUUCCCCAACCUGUGACUGAUAAACGUAUUCCAGCAGCACAGCAGAAGGUUGCCACUAAAGUCAAUGGGAGACUGUGUGUAAUGCUAAAGUAUUUUUAUUAAUUUUCUUUACAAGCAUUUGAUGUAUUUUUUAAACUUUUAUCAAAAUAAAGCAUUUAGCAUACAGUAUUUUCACACAUUUUGGAGACAGAAAAAAUUAUUUUGAAGUCUUUCAUGCAUUGAUAGGUCAUUUAACUCAGUUUUUUGUCACUGGUUCAUUUUAAA